UACGUGGGGUGCAAGCGUUGUCCGGAAUUAUUGGGCGUAAAGAGCUCGUAGGCGGUUCGUCGCGUCGGCUGUGAAAACCUGAGGCUCAACCUCAGGCCUGCAGUCGAUACGGGCGGACUUGAGUACUGCAGGGGAGACUGGAAUUCCUGGUGUAGCGGUGAAAUGCGCAGAUAUCGAGGAGGAACACCGGUGGCGAAGGCGGGUCUCGUGGGCAGUAACUGACGCUGGAGGAGCGAAAGCCGUUGGGGAGCGAACAGG
RNAcentral lists this ribosomal RNA (258 nucleotides) under uncultured bacterium. RNAcentral describes it as "partial 16S ribosomal RNA". It matches the Rfam family "Bacterial small subunit ribosomal RNA", at positions 524 to 776 of the family's 1533-position model. The record is from RNAcentral.